GACGAACCGUGCGAACGUUGUUCGGAUUCACUGGGCUUAAAGGGCGCGUAGGCGGGCGGUCAAGUCGGGGGUGAAAUCUUUCCGCUUAACGGGAAGCGUGCCUCCGAUACUGGCCGCCUCGAGGGAGGUAGGGGCAUGUGGAACUUCCGGUGGAGCGGUGAAAUGCGUAGAUAUCGGAAGGAACGCCGGUGGCGAAAGCGACGUGCUGGACCUCUUCUGACGCUGAGGCGCGAAAGCUAGGGGAGCAAAC
This 250-nucleotide ribosomal RNA is filed under the name uncultured Gemmata sp. RNAcentral describes it as "partial 16S ribosomal RNA". It matches the Rfam family "Bacterial small subunit ribosomal RNA", at positions 524 to 773 of the family's 1533-position model. Lineage: Bacteria; Pseudomonadati; Planctomycetota; Planctomycetia; Gemmatales; Gemmataceae. The record is from RNAcentral.